UCAGGAUGAACGCUGGCGGCGUGCCUAAUACAUGCAAGUCGAGCGAACAGAUAAGGAGCUUGCUCCUUUGACGUUAGCGGCGGACGGGUGAGUAACACGUGGAUAACCUACCUAUAAGACUGGGAUAACUUCGGGAAACCGGAGCUAAUACCGGAUAACAUAUUGAACCGCAUGGUUCAAUAGUGAAAGGCGGCUUUGCUGUCACUUAUAGAUGGAUCCGCGCCGUAUUAGCUAGUUGGUAAGGUAACGGCUUACCAAGGCAACGAUACGUAGCCGACCUGAGAGGGUGAUCGGCCACACUGGAACUGAGACACGGUCCAGACUCCUACGGGAGGCAGCAGUAGGGAAUCUUCCGCAAUGGGCGAAAGCCUGACGGAGCAACGCCGCGUGAGUGAUGAAGGUCUUCGGAUCGUAAAACUCUGUUAUCAGGGAAGAACAAAUGUGUAAGUAACUGUGCACAUCUUGACGGUACCUGAUCAGAAAGCCACGGCUAACUACGUGCCAGCAGCCGCGGUAAUACGUAGGUGGCAAGCGUUAUCCGGAAUUAUUGGGCGUAAAGCGCGCGUAGGCGGUUUUUUAAGUCUGAUGUGAAAGCCCACGGCUCAACCGUGGAGGGUCAUUGGAAACUGGAAAACUUGAGUGCAGAAGAGGAAAGUGGAAUUCCAUGUGUAGCGGUGAAAUGCGCAGAGAUAUGGAGGAACACCAGUGGCGAAGGCGACUUUCUGGUCUGUAA
Molecule: ribosomal RNA, 733 nt
Filed under: Staphylococcus sp. SMCC G904
Lineage: Bacteria; Bacillati; Bacillota; Bacilli; Caryophanales; Staphylococcaceae
Description: bacterial SSU rRNA
Rfam family: Bacterial small subunit ribosomal RNA
Source: RNAcentral